This 178-nucleotide antisense RNA is filed under the name Leptolyngbya sp. Heron Island J. RNAcentral's name for it is "Antisense RNA which regulates isiA expression". It matches the Rfam family "Antisense RNA which regulates isiA expression". The record is from Rfam by way of RNAcentral. Lineage: Bacteria; Bacillati; Cyanobacteriota; Cyanophyceae; Leptolyngbyales; Leptolyngbyaceae.
GAUAUCCAUAGAUUGUCGCCAAAUCUAAUGUUGGCUGACUAAUCAAACGGACAUUGCCCACAGUAGGAUCAUACAGCCCGUGCCAUUGGGUAGCCCAGAGCACCAGACCUAAUGCACCCAUACCUAAAAAGAGAAGAUGAUGCCCUAAAAUGAGUCCCAACUUCUUAGGGUCGUCCCA